Molecule: ribosomal RNA, 462 nt
Filed under: uncultured bacterium
Lineage: Bacteria
Description: partial 16S ribosomal RNA
Rfam family: Bacterial small subunit ribosomal RNA
Source: RNAcentral
GACGAACGCUGGCGGCGUGCUUAACACAUGCAAGUCGAGCGGAAAGGCCCUUCGAGGUUCUCGAGCGGCGAACGGGUGAGUAACACGUGAGUAACUUGCCCCAGACUUUGGGAUAACCCUCGGAAACGGGGGCUAAUACCGGAUACGAAACAGCUUCGCGCGGGGUCUGUGUGGAAAGUUUUUCGGUUUGGGAUGGGCUCGCGGCCUAUCAGCUCGUUGGUGGGGUGAUGGCCUACCAAGGCGACGACGGGUAGCCGGCCUGAGAGGGCGACCGGCCACACUGGGACUGAGAGACGGCGCAGACUCCUACGGGAGGCAGCAGUGGGGAAUAUUGCCCAAUGGGCGGGAGCCUGUUGCGGCGACGCCGCGUGUGGGAUGACGGCCUUCUGGUUAUGAACCGCUUUCAGCUAAGACGCAGCUUAAGUGACGUUACCUGCAGAAGAAGCGCCGGCCAACUACGUG